RNAcentral lists this ribosomal RNA (253 nucleotides) under uncultured bacterium. RNAcentral's name for it is "partial 16S ribosomal RNA". It matches the Rfam family "Bacterial small subunit ribosomal RNA", at positions 524 to 776 of the family's 1533-position model. The record is from RNAcentral.
UACGGAGGGUGCGAGCGUUGUCCGGAAUCACUGGGCGUAAAGGGCGCGUAGGCGGCGCGGGUAGUCAUCGGUGAAAGCUCAGGGCUCAACUCUGAAUCGGCCGGUGAUACUCCCGUGCUCGAGCACUGUAGAGGCAGGUGGAAUUCCGGGUGUAGCGGUGGAAUGCGUAGAGAUCCGGAAGAACACCAAUGGCGAAGGCAGCUCGCUGGGACGUGACUGACGCUGAGACGCGAAAGCGUGGGGAGCAAACAGG